Molecule: ribosomal RNA, 251 nt
Filed under: uncultured bacterium
Lineage: Bacteria
Description: partial 16S ribosomal RNA
Rfam family: Bacterial small subunit ribosomal RNA
Source: RNAcentral
ACGUAUGGAGCAAGCGUUAUCCGGAUUUACUGGGUGUAAAGGGAGUGUAGGUGGUAUCACAAGUCAGAAGUGAAAGCCCGGGGCUCAACCCUGGGACUGCUUUUGAAACUGUGGAACUGGAGUGCAGGAGAGGUAAGUGGAAUUCCUAGUGUAGCGGUGAAAUGCGUAGAUAUUAGGAGGAACACCAGUGGCGAAGGCGGCUUACUGGACUGUAACUGACACUGAGGCUCGAAAGCGUGGGGAGCAAACAG